RNAcentral lists this transfer RNA (89 nucleotides) under Thermofilum pendens. RNAcentral's name for it is "tRNA-Phe". It matches the Rfam family "tRNA". From Rfam's summary of the family: Transfer RNA (tRNA) molecules are approximately 80 nucleotides in length. Their secondary structure includes four short double-helical elements and three loops (D, anti-codon, and T loops). RNAcentral also lists the same sequence under 1 other name. The record is from RNAcentral. Lineage: Archaea; Thermoproteati; Thermoproteota; Thermoprotei; Thermofilales; Thermofilaceae.
GCCGGGGUAGCUCAGCGGGAGAGCAAGCGCUAGAGAGCAUCCGGCUGAAGACCGGAGGGUCCCGGGUUCAAAUCCCGGCCCCGGCACCA